AUUUUAUCAACAAUAUGAGAAGGUUGCACACAACCACAUGCUAUAUGACGAGCUAGUUCUGUUGCAACAAUCCCCUUGAACACAUAACCGUCUUCGAUUUUAAAUUCGCUCAGUGCUUGCUCAACUGUUUUAUCCUGAAAGAUGGGGAAGGGGCAUCAAACUUUUUGGUCAAGGGAUCCGCACAUGAACUAAUUCUAUCAUGGAAACGUGCAAUAUGACCUCUCUUCAUUCGGAAUUGAGAUGUUAAAUCCUCAACGCUUAAGCUUAGAAGUUCAGGCAAACAUUUCCCGGAGGACUCUAGCUUAUCUGCAUACUGCAUCAGAGAUCUGUCAUGCAGAGAAUUGCUCAACAAAUAUUGCCAAAGUGGAUGAUGAUAAGGAUGUCAAAUCUUGAAUAUCAAUAAAAAGAAUACUCCUAGCAAAAUGAGACCAAGUCAGCAUCCACCUCAAACAGAGACAAUUGAUAUUAUCAGAGAUUAGAUGAAAAGAGGAAAGAUUUCAACUGCUACGGCCAAAUCGAAGCACUUUUGAUCGACAGAGAUUACUUGAAAAUAAUAUAAAGAAAAAGAAGAUGAUUCAUGGUUGCUUGUUGUUCCAUAAUAUAUAUAUUUACAUAUUUAUAUAUAUAUAUAUGUAUAUGUAGGUGUGUAUCUAAAUGCUACAGUGGGUUGCAGUUGCCGGCCUUACACUUGCUUUAUGUUAUUGGGUUGAAGUUGAAAAUACAGGUUUGCAGGCUUUGUUUAAGCAA
Molecule: non-coding RNA, 747 nt
Organism: Benincasa hispida (wax gourd)
Lineage: Eukaryota; Viridiplantae; Streptophyta; Magnoliopsida; Cucurbitales; Cucurbitaceae
Source: RefSeq, a predicted model, not a curated record